This 253-nucleotide ribosomal RNA is filed under the name uncultured bacterium. RNAcentral's name for it is "partial 16S ribosomal RNA". It matches the Rfam family "Bacterial small subunit ribosomal RNA", at positions 524 to 776 of the family's 1533-position model. The record is from RNAcentral.
UACGGGGGGGGCAAGCGUUGUUCGGAAUUACUGGGCGUAAAGGGCUCGUAGGCGGCCAACUAAGUCAGACGUGAAAUCCCUCGGCUUAACCGGGGAACUGCGUCUGAUACUGGUUGGCUUGAAUCCGGGAGAGGGAUGUGGAAUUCCAGGUGUAGCGGUGAAAUGCGUAGAUAUUGCUCGGAAGGCCAACGGCGAAGGCAGGUUACUGGUACGCAACUGACACUGAGGCACGAAAGCGUGGGGAGCAAACAGG